RNAcentral lists this long non-coding RNA (1038 nucleotides) under Anas platyrhynchos platyrhynchos (common mallard). RNAcentral describes it as "lncRNA (ENSAPLG00000026031.1)". Lineage: Eukaryota; Metazoa; Chordata; Aves; Anseriformes; Anatidae. The record is from RNAcentral.
CUUGUCUCUCAGUGAAACAAAAAUAUGUACAUAAAGCUAGAAAAGUGUUCCUUAGUAUUAGCGUUCCCUUUUGUUUGUAGUGCAGAUGGGUAAAUAUUCCCUAACUCUGAGCCCUGACCUCAAAACUGUGGUUUAAUAACUAACUGUAGCUUUACUAAAUUCCAUCACAGUGAUAGUCUGCUAUGUCACAAAAGCAAAUCUAGUCUACCUGCUCUUCAGGAUAAUUUAGUCAUUGCUCUCCAAGAUAUUUCUGUUUUUUGCAGAGUUUUGUGCUUGUGUAGGGUUGGUUUUUUUGUUUGUUUGUUUUGAUUUGUGUGUUAUUUUUUUCUUUUGUGAUGGAGGAUGGUAUUUUUUUUUUCUUGGAUUGAUUUAAGACACACAUAAUUGUCGUGUUGAUAAAGUAAGAAAGAUAUAAUCUUUGCACAUUAGUUACCUUCUGUGGCUUGUGAUUUGCUACAGAAAUUAGGUGAAGGGAAAGAAGUCUUUAGAUUCAGAUCCUGAGAAACUGUGUGCCCCAUUCCUUACAUUCACCAAGAAGAUUUUUAUCUAACAGCAGGAUGGAAGACAUCACUGAGUAACUUUUCAUGUAUUCAUGUUUCAUUUGUGCUCUCAAAAGUUUAAUCUGCCUACAAAACAGAUGAUGAGUCUGGCUCUAGUUACAAGCAGUGGGAGGCUUUACCUUUAGCAGGUUGGAUACUGCGUUGAUAAGAAGUAGAUGUUGUUCAGUUCCACUUCUUAAACAGCAACCUACUCGCUCUGCAGGUGUAAAAGCUCCAUCUCCAGUGCAGCUCCAUCGUGUGUGAAACAGCCUCACUGUGUGUGCUUGCAUGGCUGCCUCUGAGCUGGAGGUGAAAACUUUGGAGCCAGCCAGUCCCAGCUUUGGAUCUGCCCAUGCUACCUUCCAGACACAGGACAGCCCUUUGUACCAGGAUAACCCUGAUUUCAGGCAUAGUCAUUUUCAGAAAGCAUACUAAACAUAUGCAUGGAGAAAAAAGGAGUCAUCUGUGGUGCCGGGGAAGGCUUCGCAUUAUGUGCUGA